UAUAAUAUAAUAUAAUAUCGGGAUGCAUUGCUUUCAGAGAUCGCCUAAAAGCAGACUAUGACAAAACAGAGUGAAAACUAUGAACAAUUUUGUUGUUUGUUUUAUAGAUUUUUAAAAUGGCUUUUCGUAUGCUACAUAUUUGUAGAGUUGUAAAUAAUUUGAUAAAAAUGUUCAAUCUGUAAACAAUGGUAUAUAUUAUUGUAUUUAAUAUUGUUUAAUUUAUUGUUUGUCAGUCAUUCACAUUUGUUAAAAAUAGUCACUUUAUUAAAUAAUGUGAGAAACUCUAUGUUCUUUGGGAAUAAACCUGAAGAUGAAUUAUGAAAGGGUGUGACAAGUAUCAGUAAUGCAGGAAGACGCAGAGGUAGAGCAAGAAGAGUAGUGAAAAGAGAGACCUAAGGGGCAAAUAAUUGGCAUGGGAAAAAUUCCGAUACAAUUUCCUGGUCUGAACACUUCUGUGUUUAGAGGAAAAGAAUUAAUUCAACAGCUAAAACUGCUUGUAAAUCUUGAAAGAAAGCAAAACUAAUGGAAUUACCACAAAGUCAGACCAGGCCAAUGCAAAUAAAAUUAUCGCCAUUGAAAUGUGGUUGGAGGAGUGUUACAAUGGAUGGCAGAAGCAUUGAAUUAGAUCUUAUUGGAAAAGAUACAUUUGAAAGUUUUGAAACCUGGAUUUUGGGAAACAAAAUGAUAACUUGUAUGACCAGUAAUUUAGCACGUAAGACUAGAAUCAAUUCAUAUAUAGUAACUGGGAAUGGAAAUGGAUUGGCUGGAUUUGCGUUAUCAAAAGCCAAAGCAUCCCUAAAGACGAUUAAAAAUAAGACUGGUCAAAGAUUAAUGUAUAUUCCUACAUAUAAGGAACACACUGUGUUACAUGAUUUCUUUACACAGUUUGAGAAUAUAAAAAUAUUUGUAAAGAAAAUUCAUGAAGGAUAAUGGGCUUGUUUGUCAUCAUGCAAUAAAAGCAUGUGAGAUAAUUGGCAUAAAGGAUAUGUAUGCCAAAGUUCAAGGAGGAAUGUAAAAGCAUUCUUUAUUGGUUUAUUGCAAUAAGUGUGAAUAUAAAGUAUUUAAAGGCAUAUUAUACUUUUUAUUUAAUUUAUAUU
RNAcentral lists this unclassified non-coding RNA (1097 nucleotides) under Camponotus floridanus (Florida carpenter ant). RNAcentral describes it as "28S ribosomal protein S5, mitochondrial-like, transcript variant X3". Lineage: Eukaryota; Metazoa; Arthropoda; Insecta; Hymenoptera; Formicidae. The record is from RNAcentral.